This 491-nucleotide ribosomal RNA is filed under the name Gyptis robertscrippsi. Its description in RNAcentral is "partial small subunit ribosomal RNA". It matches the Rfam family "Bacterial large subunit ribosomal RNA", at positions 1847 to 2592 of the family's 2925-position model. The record is from RNAcentral. Lineage: Eukaryota; Metazoa; Annelida; Polychaeta; Phyllodocida; Hesionidae.
GUAAGGUACGCCCUGCCCGGUGAGCCAACGAGCUUAAACGGCCGCGGUAUCCUGACCGUGCAAAGGUAGCAUAAUCCGUUGCCUUUUAAUUGGGGGCUAGAAUGAAUGGGUAAACGAGGGAACAGUUGUCUCUUUUUUUAAAAAUGAAAUUGACCUCCAGGUGAAGAUGCCUGGAUUAAAUAAAAAGACAAAAAGACCCUGUCGAGUUUAACUAAAAUCUUGCGCUCUAAUACGAUUAAUCUGUAGAAGACCUACAAGAUAUAGUUUGGUUGGGGAAACCUAGGAGCCGUCCAACCUCCUUAAGCAAUACCGGCCCAUAAGCCUUUUUACACGAUCCAUACCUAAUGAAGCUAGAAACAUAUUACCGCAGGGAUAACAGGCUAAUUUCUUCAGAGAGCCCAAAUUGACGAAGAAGUUUGGCACCUCGAUGUUGGCUUAGGGUAUCCCUCAGGCGUAGCAACUUGAAAAGGUCGGUUUGUUCAACCGUUAAA